This 729-nucleotide ribosomal RNA is filed under the name uncultured bacterium. RNAcentral describes it as "bacterial SSU rRNA". It matches the Rfam family "Bacterial small subunit ribosomal RNA", at positions 38 to 762 of the family's 1533-position model. The record is from RNAcentral.
GGCGGCAGGCCUAACACAUGCAAGUCGAGCGGUAGAGAGAAGCUUGCUUCUCUUGAGAGCGGCGGACGGGUGAGUAAUACCUAGGAAUCUGCCUGAUAGUGGGGGAUAACGUUCGGAAACGGACGCUAAUACCGCAUACGUCCUACGGGAGAAAGCAGGGGACCUUCGGGCCUUGCGCUAUCAGAUGAGCCUAGGUCGGAUUAGCUAGUUGGUGAGGUAAUGGCUCACCAAGGCUACGAUCCGUAACUGGUCUGAGAGGAUGAUCAGUCACACUGGAACUGAGACACGGUCCAGACUCCUACGGGAGGCAGCAGUGGGGAAUAUUGGACAAUGGGCGAAAGCCUGAUCCAGCCAUGCCGCGUGUGUGAAGAAGGUCUUCGGAUUGUAAAGCACUUUAAGUUGGGAGGAAGGGCAGUUACCUAAUACGUGACUGUCUUGACGUUACCGACAGAAUAAGCACCGGCUAACUCUGUGCCAGCAGCCGCGGUAAUACAGAGGGUGCAAGCGUUAAUCGGAAUUACUGGGCGUAAAGCGCGCGUAGGUGGUUUGUUAAGUUGAAUGUGAAAUCCCCGGGCUCAACCUGGGAACUGCAUCCAAAACUGGCAAGCUAGAGUAUGGUAGAGGGUAGUGGAAUUUCCUGUGUAGCGGUGAAAUGCGUAGAUAUAGGAAGGAACACCAGUGGCGAAGGCGACUACCUGGACUGAUACUGGCACUGAGGUGCGAAAGCGU